AACUGCUCAGGGAAUGGGGUUUCCCUUUAACCGCUUGUAAAGCUGAUAACUCCUGGUUGAGA
RNAcentral lists this non-coding RNA (62 nucleotides) under Desulfocicer vacuolatum. Its description in RNAcentral is "Desulfobacterium vacuolatum Fluoride sequence". It matches the Rfam family "Fluoride riboswitch aptamer (crcB RNA motif)". The record is from RNAcentral. RNAcentral also lists the same sequence under 1 other name. Lineage: Bacteria; Pseudomonadati; Thermodesulfobacteriota; Desulfobacteria; Desulfobacterales; Desulfobacteraceae.